GAGGACUGGCCUUGCAGGGUGC
Molecule: microRNA, 22 nt
Filed under: Sus scrofa (pig)
Lineage: Eukaryota; Metazoa; Chordata; Mammalia; Artiodactyla; Suidae
Description: ssc-miR-7138-3p
Source: miRBase by way of RNAcentral